ACAGGGAUUGCCCUAGUAACGGCGAGUGAAGCGGCAACAGCUCAAAUUUGAAAUCUGGCGUCUUUGGCGUCCGAGUUGUAAUUUGCAGAGGGCGCUUUGGCAUUGGCAGCGGUCCAAGUUCCUUGGAACAGGACGUCACAGAGGGUGAGAAUCCCGUACGUGGUCGCUAGCCUUUACCGUGUAAAGCCCCUUCGACGAGUCGAGUUGUUUGGGAAUGCAGCUCUAAAUGGGAGGUAAAUUUCUUCUAAAGCUAAAUACUGGCCAGAGACCGAUAGCGCACAAGUAGAGUGAUCGAAAGAUGAAAAGCACUUUGGAAAGAGAGUUAAAAAGCACGUGAAAUUGUUGAAAGGGAAGCGCUUGCAGCCAGACUUGCCUGUAGUUGCUCAUCCGGGUUUUUACCCGGUGCACUCUUCUAUAGGCAGGCCAGCAUCAGUUUGGGCGGUUGGAUAAAGGUCUCUGUCAUGUACCUCUCUUCGGGGAGAACUUAUAGGGGAGACGACAUGCAACCAGCCUGGACUGAGGUCCGCGCAUCUGCUAGGAUGCUGGCGUAAUGGCUGUAAGCGGCCCGUCUUGAAACACGGACCAAGGAGUCUAACAUCUAUGCGAGUGUUUGGGUGUCAAGCCCGAACGCGUAAUGAAAGUGAACGGAGGUGGGAACCUUUCGGGGUGCACCAUCGACCGAUCCUGAUGUCUUCGGAUGGAUUUGAGUAAGAGCAUAGCUGUUGGGACCCGAAAGAUGGUGAACUAUGCUUGAAUAGGGUGAAGCCAGAGGAAACUCUGGUGGAGGCUCGCAGCGGUUCUGACGUGCAAAUCGAUCGUCAAAUUUGGGCAUAGGGGCGAAAGACUAAUCGAACUAUCUAGUAGCUGGUUCCUGCCGAAG
This 880-nucleotide ribosomal RNA is filed under the name Phomatodes nebulosa. RNAcentral's name for it is "partial large subunit ribosomal RNA". It matches the Rfam family "Eukaryotic large subunit ribosomal RNA", at positions 68 to 966 of the family's 3401-position model. The record is from RNAcentral. Lineage: Eukaryota; Fungi; Ascomycota; Dothideomycetes; Pleosporales; Didymellaceae.